This 378-nucleotide ribosomal RNA is filed under the name uncultured organism. RNAcentral describes it as "partial 16S ribosomal RNA". It matches the Rfam family "Bacterial small subunit ribosomal RNA", at positions 525 to 896 of the family's 1533-position model. The record is from RNAcentral.
GUAGGGGGGGCGAGCGUUGUCCGGAUUUAUUGGGCGUAAAGGGCUCGUAGGGCGGCUUAGCAAGUCGACCGUGAAAACCCAGGGGCUCAACCCUGGGACGCCGGUCGAAACUGCUAUGGCUAGGGUCCGGUAGAGGUGAGUGGAAUUCUCGGUGUAGCGGUGAAAUGCGCAGAUAUCGAGAGGAACACCAUUAGCGAAGGCGGCUCACUGGGCCGGUACCGACGCUGAGGAGCGAAAGCGUGGGGAGCAAACAGGAUUAGAUACCCUGGUAGUCCACGCCGUAAACGUUGAACACUAGGUGUGGCGGACUUAUCCACGUCCGCCGUGCCGCAGCUAACGCAUUAAGUGUUCCGCCUGGGGAGUACGGCCGCAAGGCUA